GAUGAACGCUGGCGGCGUGCCUAAUACAUGCAAGUCGAACGAAACUUCUUUAUCACCGAGUGCUUGCACUCACCGAUAAAGAGUUGAGUGGCGAACGGGUGAGUAACACGUGGGCAACCUGCCCAAAAGAGGGGGAUAACACUUGGAAACAGGUGCUAAUACCGCAUAACCAUAGUUACCGCAUGGUAACUAUGUAAAAGGUGGCUAUACUACCGCUUUUGGAUGGGCCCGCGGCGCAUUAGCUAGUUGGUAGGGUAAAGGCUUACCAAGGCAAUGAUGCGUAGCCGAAUUGAGAGGUUGAUCGGCCACAUUGGGACUGAGACACGGCCCAAACUCCUACGGGAGGCAGCAGUAGGGAAUCUUCCACAAUGGGCGAAAGCCUGAUGGAGCAACGCCGCGUGGGUGAAGAAGGUCUUCGGAUCGUAAAACCCUGUUGUUAGAGAAGAAAGUGCGUGAGAGUAACGGUUCACGUUUCGACGGUAUCUAACCGGAAAGCCACGGCUAACUACGU
This 511-nucleotide ribosomal RNA is filed under the name uncultured bacterium. Its description in RNAcentral is "partial 16S ribosomal RNA". It matches the Rfam family "Bacterial small subunit ribosomal RNA", at positions 28 to 506 of the family's 1533-position model. The record is from RNAcentral.